This is a long non-coding RNA of Ictalurus punctatus (channel catfish), 1371 nucleotides long. Lineage: Eukaryota; Metazoa; Chordata; Actinopteri; Siluriformes; Ictaluridae. The record is from Ensembl.
CUGGUUUUCAAGAGUGGAAAAAGAACACAGAGCUUUCGGAUAUUCACUGACCUUUGUUAGAGUAAAGUUAUUAUUGAAGUUGCUCUGAUCAAGAGAGAAAAAUGAAUACGUUUCUGAAUGCACUUAAAGCUGGAGAGGAAACGACAACGGACCCCAAGGACACACCUGAAGUGUAUGUCUGGGCCACAGAACCGGCUCUGGUCCAACCCACAGAGGUUCCUCAGGACCAGCGUUCCAUGACAAAACUUGAGGAGAAACACCAGAAGGCUGAGGAUUCCAUUGCUCAGCUGGAGGUGGAGAAGGCAAACCUGACCAACCAGGAGUAUGAGCGUGAACGGGAGGCUCACAGCAUCCUCCAGAAGGAGGACGAUGAGAUGACGGAGACUCUGAUGCACAAGGAGGAGUUACUAAAGAGCUCCAUGGUGAAAGCUGAGAAGAAACACCAGAAAGCUGUGGAGACUAUUGCUCAGCUGGAGGUGGAGAAGUCUGACCUAAAAGACCAGGUAGAGACACUGCGAAGAACAGUGCAGAAAAUAGGGAACAUGCUCACUGAGACUCACAGGGAGUGUGAAGCGCUAACAAAUAAGUAUGAGCAAAAGCAGGAGGCUAACAGCAUCCUCGAGGCGGUGAACGAUGAGAUGAUGAAGACUCUGAAGGAGCUUGAGAUGAAGAACAAUGAGAUGAAGCAGACUCUGAUGGAAAAAGAGGAAUUACUGAUGACUCCCUGGCAGAGACUGAGGAGCAACACCACGAGGCUGUGGAGUUGGUUUCCGAGGCGGAGGCAGAGAACUACGACCUGACUAAUCCAAUGAAGACCCUGGUACAGUGGGGGAAAUAAGUAUUGGAUGCGUCAACAUUUUCUUCAAGAAAUAUAUUUUCAAUGAGGCUAUUCACAUGAAAUUUUCACCAGACAUCAGUAUUAACUCAAGAAAUCUGGAAAUAUAAAGAAUUCUCAACAUUAAAGUCCAAACAUAAAGUGGAAUGACAAAUGUUCCUUAGUAGUAGUACUCUGUAAUGCCUCUGUUCCUUCUUACUGGUUAAAGCUGACUUAUAGCUUACUGGUUACGGCUUAAACUCUUACAUAAUCGACAUAUACUUGCAGUAAGUGUUCUGAUCACCCAAAUGAACUUUGUGUGACUCACUCCUUUUAUACUAUGCUUGUGUUUCAAGUGUUUUGUUGUCUUAAGUGACGUUUGUGUUACUAUCCUCUGCUUUUUAAUUAUAAGAUGGACAGACACUCCAGGUGAGUACAGUACACAUGCCUCACUAACAGAGACGAUUCAUUCUGUUUAUUCAUGUUUGAUGUAACGUUGGUGCAGUGUGGGAGCUUUAGUGAUUGCACCAACACUAACCUUGCUAAUAAAGUUCAUG